GAUACGGGACUCAUCCGAGGCCCCGUAAUCGGAAUGAGCACACUUUAAAUCCUUUAACGAGUAUCCAUUGGAGGGCAAGUCUGGUGCCAGCAGCCGCGGUAAUUCCAGCUCCAAUAGCGUAUAUUAAAGUUGUUGCGGUUAAAAAGCUCGUAGUUGGACUUGUGUCCCACGCUGUCGGUUCACCGCCCGUCGGUGUCUAACUGGCAUGGUUCGUGGGACGUCCUGCCGGUGGUGGCGAGUCGAAGGAGCGCGCCCGUCGUGGUUCACGCCGCGAUCGAGGUUGCGGUCUGUAGACGGACCCCGAUGAAAUCCUACCGCGGUGCUCUUCACCGAGUGUCGAGGUGGGCCGGCACGUUUACUUUGAACAAAUUAGAGUGCUUAAAGCAGGCCUGUUGCGCCUGAAUACUGUGUGCAUGGAAUAAUGGAAUAGGACCUCGGUUCUAUUUUGUUGGUUUUCGGAACCCGAGGUAAUGAUUAAUAGGGACAGUCGGGGGCAUUCGUAUUGCGACGUUAGAGGUGAAAUUCUUGGAUCGUCGCAAGACGGACCGAAGCGAAAGCAUUUGCCAAGUAUGUUUUCAUUAAUCAAGAACGAAAGUUAGAGGUUCGAAGGCGAUCAGAUACCGCCCUAGUUCUAACCAUAAACGAUGCCAGCUAGCGAUCCGCCGAAGUUCCUCCGAUGACUCGGCGGGCAGCUCCCGGGAAACCAAAGCUUUUGGGUUCCGGGGGAAGUAUGGUUGCAAAGCUGAAACUUAAAGGAAUUGACGGAAGGGCACCACCAGGAGUGGAGCCUGCGGCUUAAUUUGACUCAACACGGGAAACCUCACCAGGCCCGGACAC
This 837-nucleotide ribosomal RNA is filed under the name Stenopelmatus sp. 'La Rumorosa'. Its description in RNAcentral is "SSU rRNA". It matches the Rfam family "Eukaryotic small subunit ribosomal RNA", at positions 482 to 1231 of the family's 1831-position model. RNAcentral also lists the same sequence under 3 other names. Lineage: Eukaryota; Metazoa; Arthropoda; Insecta; Orthoptera; Stenopelmatidae. The record is from RNAcentral.